GACGAACGCUGGCGGCGUGCCUAAUACAUGCAAGUCGUGCGGACCUUGUUGAAAGCUUGCUUUUAAAAGGUUAGCGGCGGACGGGUGAGUAACACGUGGGCAACCUGCCUGUAAGACUGGGAUAACGCCGGGAAACCGGGGCUAAUACCAGAUCGUUUUUUCCUCCGCAUGGAGGAAAAAGGAAAGGCGGCUUCGGCUGCCACUUACAGAUGGGCCCGCGGCGCAUUAGCUAGUUGGCGGGGUAAUGGCCCACCAAGGCAACGAUGCGUAGCCGACCUGAGAGGGUGAUCGGCCACAUUAGGACUGAGACACGGCCCAAACUCCUACGGGAGGCAGCAGUAGGGAAUCUUCCGCAAUGGGCGAAAGUCUGACGGAGCAACGCGGCGUGAGUGAAGAAGGCCUUCGGGUCGUAAAACUCUGUUGCCGGGGAAGAACAAGUGCCGUUCGAACAGGGCGGCGCCUUGACGGUACCCGGCCAGAAAGCCACGGCUAACUACGUG
RNAcentral lists this ribosomal RNA (500 nucleotides) under uncultured bacterium. RNAcentral describes it as "partial 16S ribosomal RNA". It matches the Rfam family "Bacterial small subunit ribosomal RNA", at positions 28 to 507 of the family's 1533-position model. The record is from RNAcentral.